Molecule: unclassified non-coding RNA, 21 nt
Filed under: Mus musculus (house mouse)
Lineage: Eukaryota; Metazoa; Chordata; Mammalia; Rodentia; Muridae
Description: oocyte_clustered_small_RNA5363
Source: RNAcentral
UAAGGUAAUAGGAUCUGACAA